Molecule: small nuclear RNA, 23 nt
Filed under: Arabidopsis thaliana (thale cress)
Lineage: Eukaryota; Viridiplantae; Streptophyta; Magnoliopsida; Brassicales; Brassicaceae
Description: snRNA_02403
Source: RNAcentral
AUUUUCAAAACGAAUCAUAUCAU